RNAcentral lists this long non-coding RNA (292 nucleotides) under Oryza sativa Indica Group (long-grained rice). RNAcentral describes it as "lncRNA OsGoSa_07g0015600". Lineage: Eukaryota; Viridiplantae; Streptophyta; Magnoliopsida; Poales; Poaceae. The record is from RNAcentral.
GAGAGUCGCAAGUACGGAUCUGAGGUUCAUUGUGUCGUCAAAUAUGGAUACAUGGGUCACACCUCCAGGUGUCGGCCGGAUCUGGGCGAUGCUUGUGCGAUCAACGACCGCGGAGAUCACGGAGAGUCGCAAGUACGGAUCUGAGGUUCAUUGUGUCGUCAAAUAUGGAUACAUGGGUCACACCUCCAGGUGUCGGCCGGAUCUGGGCGAUGCUUGUGCGAUCAACGACCGCGGAGAUCACGGUGUCGGCCGGAUCUGGGCGAUGCUUGUGCGAUCAACGACCGCGGAGAUC